RNAcentral lists this ribosomal RNA (929 nucleotides) under Staphylococcus aureus. RNAcentral's name for it is "partial 23S ribosomal RNA". It matches the Rfam family "Bacterial large subunit ribosomal RNA", at positions 606 to 1538 of the family's 2925-position model. Lineage: Bacteria; Bacillati; Bacillota; Bacilli; Caryophanales; Staphylococcaceae. The record is from RNAcentral.
UUUUGUAGAAUGAACCGGCGAGUUACGAUUUGAUGCAAGGUUAAGCAGUAAAUGUGGAGCCGUAGCGAAAGCGAGUCUGAAUAGGGCGUUUAGUAUUUGGUCGUAGACCCGAAACCAGGUGAUCUACCCUUGGUCAGGUUGAAGUUCAGGUAACACUGAAUGGAGGACCGAACCGACUUACGUUGAAAAGUGAGCGGAUGAACUGAGGGUAGCGGAGAAAUUCCAAUCGAACCUGGAGAUAGCUGGUUCUCUCCGAAAUAGCUUUAGGGCUAGCCUCAAGUGAUGAUUAUUGGAGGUAGAGCACUGUUUGGACGAGGGGCCCCUCUCGGGUUACCGAAUUCAGACAAACUCCGAAUGCCAAUUAAUUUAACUUGGGAGUCAGAACAUGGGUGAUAAGGUCCGUGUUCGAAAGGGAAACAGCCCAGACCACCAGCUAAGGUCCCAAAAUAUAUGUUAAGUGGAAAAGGAUGUGGCGUUGCCCAGACAACUAGGAUGUUGGCUUAGAAGCAGCCAUCAUUUAAAGAGUGCGUAAUAGCUCACUAGUCGAGUGACACUGCGCCGAAAAUGUACCGGGGCUAAACAUAUUACCGAAGCUGUGGAUUGUCCUUUGGACAAUGGUAGGAGAGCGUUCUAAGGGCGUUGAAGCAUGAUCGUAAGGACAUGUGGAGCGCUUAGAAGUGAGAAUGCCGGUGUGAGUAGCGAAAGACGGGUGAGAAUCCCGUCCACCGAUUGACUAAGGUUUCCAGAGGAAGGCUCGUCCGCUCUGGGUUAGUCGGGUCCUAAGCUGAGGCCGACAGGCGUAGGCGAUGGAUAACAGGUUGAUAUUCCUGUACCACCUAUAAUCGUUUUAAUCGAUGGGGGGACGCAGUAGGAUAGGCGAAGCGUGCGAUUGGAUUGCACGUCUAAGCAGUAAGGCUGAGUAUUAGGCA